This 96-nucleotide transfer RNA is filed under the name Eutypa lata. RNAcentral describes it as "tRNA-Pro". It matches the Rfam family "tRNA". From Rfam's summary of the family: Transfer RNA (tRNA) molecules are approximately 80 nucleotides in length. Lineage: Eukaryota; Fungi; Ascomycota; Sordariomycetes; Xylariales; Diatrypaceae. RNAcentral also lists the same sequence under 1 other name. The record is from RNAcentral.
GCCUGGAUGGUCUAGUGGUAUGAUUCUCGCUUAGGGUUCAAAACUUCCUAAGUUCUAAUAUGCGAGAGGUCCCAGGUUCAAAUCCUGGUUCAGGCC